Microplitis mediator is the source of this 331-nucleotide long non-coding RNA. RefSeq lists it as uncharacterized. The transcript has 3 exons. Lineage: Eukaryota; Metazoa; Arthropoda; Insecta; Hymenoptera; Braconidae. The record is from RefSeq and is a predicted model, not a curated record.
AUUAAUUACACAAAAGUUUACAGAACUUCGAGAACAACGAUCGCUCAAGAUAUAAAAUAAAAAAAAUGUCAAAAAUAAUUUUAUUAUUAUCAAUUUUCGCAAUGAUUGGUCUCUAUGCUGGUGCAGAUGCGGCAUGUCCAGGCGGCUGGUGCCAUCCAUCACAAGGUUAUGGCUGUUGUGAAGGAAAUGUAUGUGAUUCGUAUUUGUUUCAAGGUACGUGCAUAACUCAAAAGGAACACCUAUUUCGAUCUAUUGCAUCUGGAAAAUAAUUAUAAUAAUAGAGUGAAAAUUUAAAGAUGUAUUUUUCCAAUUAAUAAAACUCUCAAUACAA